GCUGGGUGUGGUGGUGCACAUCUGUAAUCCCAGCUACUCGGGAGGCUGAGGCAGGAGAAUCGCUUGAACCCAGGAGGCGGAGGCUGCAGUGAGCUGAGAUUGUGCCACUGCAUUCCAGCCUGGGCAACAGAGUGAGACUCUGUCUCAA
This 148-nucleotide non-coding RNA is filed under the name Chlorocebus sabaeus (green monkey). The record is from Rfam by way of RNAcentral. Lineage: Eukaryota; Metazoa; Chordata; Mammalia; Primates; Cercopithecidae.